RNAcentral lists this ribosomal RNA (393 nucleotides) under uncultured bacterium. RNAcentral describes it as "partial 16S ribosomal RNA". It matches the Rfam family "Bacterial small subunit ribosomal RNA", at positions 523 to 918 of the family's 1533-position model. The record is from RNAcentral.
AUACGGAGGAUCCGAGCGUUAUCCGGAUUUAUUGGGUUUAAAGGGAGCGUAGGCGGACGCUUAAGUCAGUUGUGAAAGUUUGCGGCUCAACCGUAAAAUUGCAGUUGAUACUGGGUGUCUUGAGUACAGUAGAGGCAGGUGGAAUUCGUGGGGUAGCGGGGAAAUGCUUAGAUAUCACGAAGAACUCCGAUUGCGAAGGCAGCCUGCUGGACUGUAACUAACGCUGAUGCUCGAAAGUGUGGGUAUCAAACAGGAUUAGAUACCCUGGUAGUCCACACAGUAAACGAUGAAUACUCGCUGUUUGCGAUAUACAGUAAGCGGCCAAGCGAAAGCGUUAAGUAUUCCACCUGGGGAGUACGCCGGCAACGGUGAAACUCAAAUGAAUUGACGGGG